Molecule: long non-coding RNA, 416 nt
Filed under: Olea europaea (common olive)
Lineage: Eukaryota; Viridiplantae; Streptophyta; Magnoliopsida; Lamiales; Oleaceae
Description: long non-coding RNA (OEUR_LNC006185)
Source: RNAcentral
UCAACUUUCCGUUUGUCUCACAACCACCCACUAUUUCUCUGUGAGAUUUGGUUUGUGUCCUUGUUCUAUGGACUUAGUCUCAUCGGGUAGUGGAGGAACCAUUCCCCAUACAUCAAAUAAAAUCAAGGUUAAAGGUGUUCAGUACUCUAAUCCAGCUUACUCUCUUUGCAUGCGUCAAGAUCAAUUGAUAUUCUAUCCUAUCCCGGCCUUGCUUAUCGAGGCUGUUAUUCCUCUCAUUCCCUCCGCUGCCAUAAGCCACAAUGCCUGAACUUGUCUUGAUCGCAUCUUUGCCAAAGUUUCUCAAUUUUUCAUUAUCCAACUCGAACUUGCCUGAAAAUUCAAGUGAAAUUGUUUUCAUGAAGAUAAAGGUCACUUAACAAUUUAGCAAAGAUUUAAAUGAUUUUAUAGUUGAAAAC